GUGGGGAAUAUUGCACAAUGGGGGAAACCCUGAUGCAGCCAUGCCGCGUGUGUGAAGAAGGCCUUCGGGUUGGAAAGCACUUUCAGCGAGGAGGAAAGGUCAGGAGCUAAUAUCUGCUGACUGUGACGUUACUCGCAGAAGAAGCACCGGCUAACUCCGUGCCAGCAGCCGCGGUAAUACGGAGGGUGCAAGCGUUAAUCGGAAUUACUGGGCGUAAAGCGCACGCAGGCGGUUGGAUAAGUUAGAUGUGAAAGCCCCGGGCUCAACCUGGGAAUUGCAUUUAAAACUGUCCAGCUAGAGUCUUGUAGAGGGGGGUAGAAUUCCAGGUGUAGCGGUGAAAUGCGUAGAGAUCUGGAGGAAUACCGGUGGCGAAGGCGGCCCCCUGGACAAAGACUGACGCUCAGGUGCGAAAGCGUGGGGAGCAAACAGGAUUAGAAACCCGUGUAGUCC
This 450-nucleotide ribosomal RNA is filed under the name uncultured bacterium. RNAcentral's name for it is "partial 16S ribosomal RNA". It matches the Rfam family "Bacterial small subunit ribosomal RNA", at positions 354 to 796 of the family's 1533-position model. The record is from RNAcentral.